This 255-nucleotide ribosomal RNA is filed under the name uncultured bacterium. Its description in RNAcentral is "partial 16S ribosomal RNA". It matches the Rfam family "Bacterial small subunit ribosomal RNA", at positions 524 to 777 of the family's 1533-position model. The record is from RNAcentral.
UACAGAGGGGGCAAGCGUUGUUCGGAAUUACUGGGCGUAAAGGGCGCGUAGGCGGCCUUCUAAGUCGAACGUGAAAUCCCCGGGCUCAACCCGGGAACUGCGUCCGAUACUGGAAGGCUUGAAUCCGGGAGAGGGAUAGCGGAAUUCCAGGUGUAGCGGUGAAAUGCGUAGAUAUCUGGAGGAACACCGGUGGCGAAGGCGGCAUCCUGGACCGGCAUUGACGCUGAGGCGCGAAAGCCAGGGGAGCAAAGCGGG